GGAUGGGAACGGAUCGGAAUGAAACAAGGAUGGUGCUCGGGGUGGGGGGGAUGCUCCUGGGGGUCCCACGCGCGGCGGGACAGGGACAGUGGGGCUGGGGACAGUGCAGCGGGUCCGGUCAGAGCCAUCUGUCCCUGCCAUCACCGCCUGUGCUGCCUGAGCCCCCACCCGGAGGCGUCAGGAGAAAACAAUACCUCGAGGAUUUGUAGCUGGUUCAGUCGUGCUCUCUCCCCUCCUGGCCCAGGAUGUGAUUCAUCACAUCUUGCACAAGAUGGAGCUGGGCUGACGAGCCCUGCCCGCCAGGAUGGCUGUUCAGGGCCUUAUCUCUGCAAUAAAGAGCACGAGACACUGAGCUCUGCACCUUCCAGCAACGGCUGCCACCUCUGCUGUGCUAGCCCAGGUACCCUGGGCUGCACUUCUGCUUGCUGUGGGCUCUGAGUUUACACUCAAGGAAUCCAAACCCAGAAGAAAUCACUGAAGGUUUCCAGUGUGACCCUCUGCAUACCAUGAACUGCAGCACCGCUGCAGUGCCUCCCUGCCCUCCUGCAGCAGCUCCUGCAGGGAACAGCUCUCGGGUGUCACACACCCAGGAGGGCAGGAGGCUCCUUCCCGUGCUCAGGAAACUGCUCUGUGCUGGAUUAUCCUGGCUGCUCUCAUUUGUCCCACUCUGGAGCUCCAGCCUGCCCUCACUGUGUCCCAGCUCACACCUGUGUGCCAGGGCAGGCAGGCACAAAGCCUCUCAUUUCUCCUGACAGGCAUAAGCUGUAAUCUAAUUACUGUCACGAUCUUUCUGUUAAACCCAGCAGGUUAAGCUCCUUAGUUCAGGGUGUUGAAUGCUGUUUAAAACCGGACCCUCAUUUUUGAUUCUCUGACUACCAGUUCUGAGUGAGGAGCAGCAGCUUGUUUGCGGGGUCUUGUUCUUUUCAUUUUUAAAUAUAACUGAAUCUAAAACCCAUUCCCGACUCAAAUUAAAGGCAGAGAUUUUAUAACACAAACAAAAA
Long non-coding RNA from Passer domesticus (house sparrow), 1001 nucleotides. RefSeq lists it as uncharacterized. The transcript is spliced from 2 exons. The record is from RefSeq and is a predicted model, not a curated record. NCBI's taxonomy places the organism in Eukaryota, Metazoa, Chordata, Aves, Passeriformes, Passeridae.